GCCGGGCGCGGUGGCCCACGCCUGUGAUCCCAGCAGCUCGGAGGCUGAGGCAGGAGGAUCGCGAGUUCAAAGCCAGCCUCAGCCAAAGUGAGGUGCUAAGCUACUCAGGGAGACCCUGUCUCUA
Molecule: small RNA, 124 nt
Filed under: Marmota monax (woodchuck)
Lineage: Eukaryota; Metazoa; Chordata; Mammalia; Rodentia; Sciuridae
Source: RNAcentral